Long non-coding RNA from Biomphalaria glabrata, 403 nucleotides. RefSeq lists it as uncharacterized. The record is from RefSeq and is a predicted model, not a curated record. The transcript is spliced from 3 exons. NCBI's taxonomy places the organism in Eukaryota, Metazoa, Mollusca, Gastropoda, Planorbidae.
ACAGCCCCAUAUGAUUGCUAAGUUUUUUCCUAAGUAGUCAAAAGUCAAUAUUAAUUCGUCAUAUAUUUUUUGAUUUAAGCUAAAUAUAUAUUUUAAUUCAGAUCUUGAGUCGACAUAAUCGGUAGAGUUCUACAACUAGUUGAUUAGUUCUAGAUAAUUUGAUAAUUUGAAUUGUGACUUCGUCGAAUUUUUUUAUUCAAAAGAUAAAGGAACUACAAAACUACAAAUGUUCGCUCAGACCAAUCAAGCACAAGAUAACAUAACACCCACCGCAGAUAUGUUGAGUAGUUAUCUUGGAAGAACCUCAAUGUACGUACUUAGGGCAAAGGGAGACUAUUUUGCAUCCCAACCAGACCAACUUAAUUUACGAAUCGGGGACUAUUAUUUGAGCUUUCAACCUCUC